UCAACCAUAAACGAUGCCGACCAGGGAUCGGCGGAUGUUGCUUAUAGGACUCCGCCGGCACCUUAUGAGAAAUCAAAGUCUUUGGGUUCCGGGGGGAGUAUGGUCGCAAGGCUGAAACUUAAAGGAAUUGACGGAAGG
This 138-nucleotide non-coding RNA is filed under the name Oryza rufipogon (brownbeard rice). Its description in RNAcentral is "Eukaryotic small subunit ribosomal RNA". It matches the Rfam family "Eukaryotic small subunit ribosomal RNA", at positions 1026 to 1163 of the family's 1831-position model. The record is from Rfam by way of RNAcentral. Lineage: Eukaryota; Viridiplantae; Streptophyta; Magnoliopsida; Poales; Poaceae.